AAGGAUUUAAGUUAAAUAAACUAUUAACCUUCAAAGUUGAAAUUGUGUAUAUUUCAUAUAUAAGCCUUA
Molecule: transfer RNA, 69 nt
Filed under: Symplanella unipuncta
Lineage: Eukaryota; Metazoa; Arthropoda; Insecta; Hemiptera; Caliscelidae
Description: tRNA-Trp
Source: RNAcentral